UAAAUUGCUCCAAUCAGCUUACGAUAUCUUCAUAACGAUCUGAUACUACUUAGGUGUGUACUGCCAAAAUACCCGUAAACAUCUCAGCGCCUCUGCAAUAAUGAGUAGGAUAGGCUUAUCUGUGUGUAUUCUUUUAGCAGUGUGCUUCGUAAACUUCAGUCUUACAUCAGCGCUUGACUGCAACCUACCGUGUCUAUUAAGAAUGAUCCCAUUUGAAGAACGUGGCGGCAUAAUAAAUGUGAAACGAAAUGCAGAGUGUUUGGCCGCGUGUCGGAAGACGGGUAUAAGAAAUUGCCCAAAGCAUUGCGGCGGUGAUUCAGCAUUGAGAUAACACGUUUAGUGUCCGGAGUCCUACAAUCACAACUAAGCCUAGGGCUAUCUCACCAAGAUCACAAAAGACGGAUAUAAUCAACUAGACGCCAGCCAGCGGCGAGUUUCACCGAAGUUGCUCGAGGCCGACUUGAACAUGGAUACCACUCUGGCGACUCAAUAACACAGACACACUAUUGUACAAUUUGAUACCAAUAUGAUAUAUGGAUGAUUUCGCCUUGUAUUAUGUAUCAACUUUGCAGAGUUUGUUUCAUUUAUUUAAAAUAGAUAAGUGCUAUAAAAACACAUUUUAAUGUAAGGUAAUGGUUGAAUUUAGAUCAUAAAAGUUGUAUUCACAUAACUACGUGUAUAUAUAUAACGAUAUGUAUAUACUAAUGCAAAAAUUAAUAAGCCUAUAAUUAUGUUAGUAAAAUGUGAGAAUGUGCAAUUUAUUGUAAAAGAGAAACUCACACUGUACAGGAACAGAGAAGCAUGAAAACAAUACAAUUGUACAAAAUGCAAAAUAGUAAAUUAAACAUUAUCCUAAAGGUAAAGAAUUGCUUUUAUUUUAUUUUUAUUAUUUUUUUUAAAUCAUUCUAGAUACAGUGAAUUGUCAGCGUUAAGCAAAAACUCAAACAUUUGAGGAUUUGGACUUGUAAAUUAUUAGGUUAAUUAAGAAAAUAAAGGUUUCUCUUCACAACUAGACACAAAUAAAUUCUGGAUACAGUUAACUGUCUGCAUUUUAGCAAAAACUCAAGCAAAAUUAUUAGGUUUUUGAUCAAGAAUUACAAUAAGAAAAGUUUUUCUUAACAUCAGACACAAAUAAGACAAUACCAUUCUUCGCAUAAGGAUUUUCGAAUAAAAUAGUCUGUAUAUCUGCGUAAC
Molecule: long non-coding RNA, 1194 nt
Organism: Anneissia japonica
Lineage: Eukaryota; Metazoa; Echinodermata; Crinoidea; Comatulida; Comatulidae
Exons: 4
Source: RefSeq, a predicted model, not a curated record